RNAcentral lists this long non-coding RNA (2507 nucleotides) under Capra hircus (goat). RNAcentral describes it as "lncRNA (ENSCHIG00010029495.1)". Lineage: Eukaryota; Metazoa; Chordata; Mammalia; Artiodactyla; Bovidae. The record is from RNAcentral.
GAGAGCACCCAGUAUGUGGUGCUUUUCAGAUUCAACAACAAAGGCAGAAUUUUAAAAGAGAAAAAUAAGCUGGACGUCAUCAAGAUUAAAAACUCUGCAUGAGACGCUGUCAGGUGUGUGAGAACGGCGUGCGUAUGGGAGGCACUUGUGUGUAGUGUGUGCGGUGUAUGUGUGUGUACGAUGUAUGUGCUGUGUGUGUGGUACACGUAUUUGCACACAUGUGUUUGGCAGAGUAAAGCCUGGAAGGACUCGCACGGAAAUAUCAAGAGUUACCAGGCAGGGUUUGGGGGUUGGGAAGUCUUUUGAUAGCCAUAAUUAUCUUUUUCUUACCAGAAUGCUGUUUUUUUUUUUUAAAUAUUGGGUGUGUAUUACUUGUGGAAAAUUAAGAGGACAGAGAAGGUCCCUCUGGAAGCAGGCAGCAGGGUCAGGAACGCCCCCGUGGAGCUGGUGGGCAGGAGCCCUGGGUGGGGACAGCCCACCUUGAGCUUCGGUGCAGGGAAGGUCAGGUCGGGGGGCGGCAAGUGGAGGAGGGAGGAGACCCACAGCCCCUGGGGGGCCUCCUCCCCAGGUGGCACCUCGGUUCCCUCCUCCCGCAGGACUCAGGGACACUGUGAGGCUGCGCCUGCAGCAGGGGGACCCUCAGGGUCUCCAGGCCCCCUGCCCAGUGGUCAGGCCCUGCUCAGGGCCCCUGUUCCGAGCUGCGGUCAGAAGGCCCUUGAGCUGGGCAAUCAGCCACAGGCGUUGGUCCCCAGCUGCCCUUUGCUGGCCCAGCGCCAUCUCCGUGCCUGCAGUCAUUCCAGCUGGUCACCUGGUGGUCCACACACUCGUGACCCCCUCAGCCUGCAGGGCCACGCUCCAUCUCUGACCCUUCCAACGGUCCUGGGCCAAGGGAUGGGCCACCGCGUAGCUGCCCUGGGUUCAAGAUUUCCUUGUCUCCUAAAGGGACGAGGUGUCUCCCAACGCCAUCGGGAAGGUUCAUGGAGGGGGGAUUUGCAGAGGGUCCGCGGCCAGUGGCCAGAGCAGAGGCCCCAGAUUUUCAGAAUCAGCCUCAGCCGCUGAGGGCUAUUAUUAUAACGCCUCUCAAUUUUAGCCCAAGAAACUAAGAUUCAGGGCUUAAGAAAGUUGCCGAUUUUUGGAAAAUUGCGGGGGCAGGAGAAUUGGGGUACCUGGUAGGGGUGCCUGCCUCCCCGAGGCAGGUGGCAGGUGAGGGGUCCUGACAGACCCCGGGAGAGCCUGGGCUGUGAGCAGCUUGAGUAAUGCAACACCCAGACCAGGAAGGGGGCUACCCUCACCCCCGGCUAGGGUCUGGAGUCCCGUCUCCUCCUCGAGGGGAAGGACCGGGGCAGGUGGACUGGAGCUGUCCAAUCGCGAGAGGUCCUCGCGCCCGGCCCCCCAGCUCUGGCCAAUCAGGGAGGACCACCCCCAGUCCCGAGAAUGGGGUGAGGGCCUUAGGAGGCUGCAGGACCCUCUGGUCACCUCCCCCUUCCAGCCUCUGUUUUCUCUUCUGGAAGCGGGACUGAUGACGCCCACCUUCCACGGUGCGGCUUCGCUUCGGGAAGCGCCUUCUCCCCUCGCCCUUCCUCCAGCGCGAUCCCGAUCCCCCAGCGCCGCAGGGCCCCUCAACUCGGUCCUGCGGCCAAAGGACCCCCAGCCAGGCCGGGAGCCUCCGCAGCCCCCAGCGGAAUCCCACCUCGCUCCCCGCUGUGGCCCGGAGCCCCAGAGCAAGAGCCGGGGCAGCCUCCCUGCCUCCCUCCAGGGGACUCACCACGGAGGAGCGGAGGAGCGCAGGCCUGACUGUCCAGAGGGACCUCUGAGUCCAGGUCCGGGCAGGGGACGGCGCUGGCGCUGACCCGGCCUGGGCGGUGGGGAGAGGUGGGGCUGGUCCCCGCCAGUCCCGGAGCCCGGGCCAAGGCCAGAACCCCAGAGGGGAGNNNNNNNNNNNNNNNNNNNNNNNNNNNNNNNNGGGCAGGGGUGGGGGGCAGGGGUGGGGGGAGGGAGGACCCUUCCAGAAGUCACGGGCUCUGAAAAGGGCCUGCAGCGUUUCUCCACAGGGCUGAUUUGAUCCGAGGACAGUGGCCCCCAGAGGCGGUAACUUCACUCACUGGCCGGGGAACUUCCCAUGGUGCUCUCAUGGCGAGACGCACUGUGCCUUGGGAGGCCUGUACCUCAAGGUCACAUCCUAAGGGAAGCUUUCCCCAACUACACACCCACUAAGACAAGCCCCCUCACCACGUGAGCACAGAGAGGCGCUUCUGCACCCUCUCAGCACAGGUUUAUCACGGGCUCAGAGACUGUCUGACACCGUCUCCCCCACUGCGGUCUGCAGGAAUCCCCCGCACCCAGUGCCGGGUGCUUCGUAUUCUUGUUCAGCUGCUAAGUCCUGUCUGACUCUUGGCGACCCCAUGGAAUGCAGUCCACCAGGCUCCUCUGUCCGUGGCAUUUUAAGGGCAAGGAUACUGAGUCUCCUGCGUUGGCAGGCAGAUUCUUUACCACGGAGCCACCUGGGG